This 395-nucleotide ribosomal RNA is filed under the name uncultured bacterium. Its description in RNAcentral is "bacterial SSU rRNA". It matches the Rfam family "Bacterial small subunit ribosomal RNA", at positions 28 to 428 of the family's 1533-position model. The record is from RNAcentral.
GAUAAACGCUGGCGGCGUGCAUGAGACAUGCAAGUCGAACGGACGAUCAGGGCUUGCUCUGAUCGUUAGUGGCGGACGGCUGAGUAACGCGUAGGUGACCUGCCCCGAAGUGGGGAAUAACUGCCCGAAAGGGUGGCUAAUACCGCAUGUGGUGGUGCCUUCAUAGGCACCAGUAAAGCCGCAAGGCGCUUCGGGAGGGGCCUGCGUCCGAUUAGCUCGUUGGUGGGGAACGGCUCACCAAGGCGACGAUCGGUAGGUGGUCUGAGAGGACGAUCACCCAGACUGGGACUGAGACACGGCCCAGACUCCUACGGGAGGCAGCAGUCGGGAAUUUUGCGCAAUGGACGAAAGUCUGACGCAGCAACGCCGCGUGAGGGAUGACGGCCUGGUUGUAA